GAAAUGCAUAUUAUAAAUAUACUUGGCACAUAACAUUUCUUAAACAAUUAUUCCACUUAUAUAUUAGAAAGUGGUUAUCAUUUCAUUUGUAGUGGCAAGGAUUUGAGAUCAAGUGUGGUUUUUACUUCUCAUGCAACACUAUCCUUUCAAAGAAUCUUUUUGAAACUACGCUCACUCAAAUUUACUAGGCCCUAUGAAGUAUGCAAAGGUCUAUCCAUUCUUAGUAAUGCUCUCUGCUGCUAUAAAUAGUCCUCUUUUCUUUAAUCUAACCAUGUAGUAAGACAAAUGCAAUGUCUGGCCACAUGAAAAAUGUUCCUUCNNNNNNNNNAGAAAAGCAGAUAAAAGAGACCAAAAAUAUGCAGCAAUAUACAGUUUGUUUCAUUAACCUAAUUAAGGAAUUUCAAGUAGUACAGGACUUGUAUGACUAAACACAACCAAAAAAGUUAGCUUUUCCUCUCUAUGAUGAAAGUCCUCAACUCUAGAACAACUAUUGUGAAUAUUUUCCAAAUAACAGCAUAUUCCAUUCUCUAAAAGUAAACACAUGCACAGAUAUCAAGUUUUACAGAAUAUUUUUUUAAAACCUAGGAGGAAUGAAAAGCUCAAUAAAGUUAAGGAAGUAUUUAACNNAAGUUCAUUUAUAACAAUUAUGCCAAUUUUCUUCUAUUUUGGAGUUUCUUGAUGGAGUUUCCAUCAAAUAUUUCACAUGAAAUAGUUUGAGAUCUUGAUAAGAUAAGAAAGUUUUAAUUGUAUGUUUUCCAUAACUAUAGAUUUCAUUAUUGAAAACAAUUCAGAAUGAUUAACUUACCAACAAUUAAGUGAAAAUUAACAUACAUGAAAUAAUUCAUAAUAUAUAAUAUUCUAUUAACUAAAUUCAUAAACAGUCUAGCAAAGUUUCAUAAAUUUCAUUAAUCAUACAAUUAACAUUUGAUUUUGAGUGUAACUAGAGAAUAACUUUGAAAUUCCUAAAUAAAUCAAAAGACAUCAUAGUUCUUCUAUGAGAUGAAUUUUAAUGAUAUUUUGAAACAUCUUAAAAUAGUCAAAAUUCCUUAAUACAAAUUCAUUUCCUACACUUUCUAACAAUUCUGGUCAUAGUUUCAAAGUAUCUUCUCUUGUUGAUUUGAGAAAUCAGCCUUUGGCCUUUAUUUGUACCUAUGUUCAGAUACAAAUUUUCUCUUUCACACUUAAAUUUAAG
RNAcentral lists this long non-coding RNA (1192 nucleotides) under Capra hircus (goat). RNAcentral's name for it is "lncRNA (ENSCHIG00010018423.1)". The record is from RNAcentral. Lineage: Eukaryota; Metazoa; Chordata; Mammalia; Artiodactyla; Bovidae.